AGCUUAUUUCGCGCAGCUUAGGUGGGAGACGUUGAACCUUUUCUUCCGGGAAAGGGGGAGUCAUCAGUGAGAUACCAUUCUUGGUAAGCUAGAGCGCUCAUUUUUAACCGUUAUCCGGUAAAAAGACAGUUUCAGGCGGGCAGUUUGACUGGGGCAGUCACCUCCCAAAAGGUAAUGGAGGUGUACAAAGGUUCUCUCAGGCUGGACGGAAAUCAGCCAUAGAGUGUAAAAGCAUAAGAGAGCUUGACUGCGAGACGGACAUGUCAAGCAGAGACGAAAGUCGGUUUUAGUGAUCCGACGGUGCUGAGUGGAAAGGCCGUCGCUCAACGGAUAAAAGUUACUCUAGGGAUAACA
RNAcentral lists this ribosomal RNA (354 nucleotides) under uncultured eukaryote. RNAcentral's name for it is "LSU rRNA". It matches the Rfam family "Bacterial large subunit ribosomal RNA", at positions 2126 to 2479 of the family's 2925-position model. The record is from RNAcentral.